UACGUAGGGUGCAAGCGUUAAUCGGAAUUACUGGGCGUAAAGCGUGCGCAGGCGGUGCUGUAAGACAGGCGUGAAAUCCCCGGGCUUAACCUGGGAAUGGCGCUUGUGACUGCAGCGCUGGAGUGCGGCAGAGGGGGAUGGAAUUCCGCGUGUAGCAGUGAAAUGCGUAGAGAUGCGGAGGAACACCGAUGGCGAAGGCAAUCCCCUGGGCCUGCACUGACGCCCAUGCACGAAAGCGUGGGGAGCAAACAGG
This 253-nucleotide ribosomal RNA is filed under the name uncultured bacterium. RNAcentral describes it as "partial 16S ribosomal RNA". It matches the Rfam family "Bacterial small subunit ribosomal RNA", at positions 524 to 776 of the family's 1533-position model. The record is from RNAcentral.